UGUACUCAGGUGUUUGUGUCUAUAUGUUGUUAACCGCGCGGAAAAUUCGGUUGCGCGGUUUAGUUCGAGUUUUGCUCGCCAGGGACUUUGGCGCCUACGAGACGUUAACUACUUAUGGAGACAGCGUCAUUACCGUGCAAGAACCACCUGGAAAGAGCAGGCCAAGUUUGUGGCGCUCAGGACUUCAGGCUGAACAGUCUGGAGUUUGGAGUCCCACCUUGAUCACUUCUGUUGUGCCCAUGAGCAAGGCAUUUUAUGGAAGGUUUGCUUGGAGAAGGGAGUGACUUUGUCACUAGUGAGGAGAUAAGCUUCCUUUGCCGCCCCUAGCUACAGGUUGUCCUUAGGCAAGGCAUAGCACCUGUUUAGCCUCCCGUGCCAGGGUUACGGUGAAGAUGUCUAAUAUAGUGGAGAUGGACUGAACACAGCAUUGAACAUAACAAAAUUGGAGGGAAGGAGACACAUAGCUAAAGGAGUGCUGCUCUACAAGAUAAUCCACAUCAAAGAAGGUAAAUGUCUUUCUCCAGCUAAAUAUCUGCUAGAGACCCAAGGAAGAUGAAGAAGAAGAAGAAGAAGAAGAAGAAAAAAAUGAAAAUGAAGUUCUAAGGAAACGCCGCUGACGACGAGGACGACGACGACGAAGAAGAAGAAGAAGAAGAAGAAGAAAUAGACUAUGAUGACGAUGUGGGCAACGACCAAGAUGAUGACUUCAACAAUGAAGAGGAAGCAAAAGAGGAAUGUCUGAUCAUAGAUGGAAGAGGGAUAAUUGGUGCCAGAGUGUUGAGUCAUAAGGCUGGGAUUGGAGCAAGAUGUCUUUUCCUCCAUUCAAACACCAUGCAUGCUUAUCAUUUAAACCAGCAAUACACAAACACGGAACCAGGAAGGAACCGGAACAAGGAUUAAGGAACCAAGAACCAGGACUUCAAACUCACUUCUGCUGAGAAGCUGCGUAACACUGCCACACCCACGGAUCAGCACACGCCGGCAAUGAGCCAGCAUAUCAUGUAAAAUGAAUAUUUGUGAAGACAUAGACACAUCAUCAAGCUGACGGGAGGCGUGAGUGCAUAAAAUCGUUGAAGCCAGGACUGCUAUUGCAAUGAUGCACUACGUUAACGUGAAACUGUCUUGUUACCAUUCGUAUGUUGUUAAUCGAAUUCAGAGUAGUUUUCCAUUGAGUUCGUUUUUAGACAUCAGUAGUUCAAUGUUUGAAGUAUUUGACUAGACAUUUUAAUGAUAUAGAUAGGAAAUGUGUUGCAUUUAAACCAUUUUAUUAACGUUAGAGCCAAUUCACUCGCUUAAAAUUCAAUUCUAUAUUGUCGUAAGUACGUAGUUUGCAGCAAAAAUGUCACGUAAAAUGUAGUUAUAAUUUGCAGCAAAGCUCGCCGCUAGAUGGCAGUCGUUGGCCAUUAGUGAAUUGAUUCACUGGUGACCAUGGUCGUAGAUUUG
Molecule: long non-coding RNA, 1443 nt
Organism: Priapulus caudatus
Lineage: Eukaryota; Metazoa; Priapulida; Priapulimorpha; Priapulimorphida; Priapulidae
Exons: 3
Source: RefSeq, a predicted model, not a curated record